RNAcentral lists this ribosomal RNA (484 nucleotides) under uncultured bacterium. RNAcentral's name for it is "partial 16S ribosomal RNA". It matches the Rfam family "Bacterial small subunit ribosomal RNA", at positions 30 to 507 of the family's 1533-position model. The record is from RNAcentral.
AUUGAACGCUGGCGGCAUGCCUAACACAUGCAAGUCGAGCGGAUGAAGGGAGCUUGCUCCUGGCUUCUGCGGCGGACGGGCGAGUAAUGCCUAGGAGUCUGCCUUAUCGUGGGGGAUAAGGUCCGGACACGGGCGCUAAUCUCACACCCGUUAAGAGUGUGAACGGGGGGGAUCUACGGACCACGCGCUAUUAGCUGACCCUGGGUGGGAUUAGCUAGUUGGUGGGGUAAGGGCCUACCAAGGCGACGAUCCGUAACUGGUCUGAGAGGAUGAUCAGACACACUGGAACUGAGACACGGUCCAGACUCCUACGGGAGGCAGCAGUGGGGAAUAUUGGACAAUGGGCGAAAGCCUGAUCCAGCCAUGCCGCGUGUGUGAUGAAGGUCUUCGGAUUGUAAAACUCUUUUAUUUGGGAGGAAAAGAAGUAAGUUAAUACCUUGCUUUCUUGACGGUACCUAAAGAAUAAGCACCGGCUAACUACGUG